Molecule: long non-coding RNA, 2447 nt
Filed under: Salvia miltiorrhiza (redroot sage)
Lineage: Eukaryota; Viridiplantae; Streptophyta; Magnoliopsida; Lamiales; Lamiaceae
Description: long non-coding RNA (SMIL_LNC005183)
Source: RNAcentral
ACGGGAGGUUCUUCGUUGGUUUCACUAUCUCAAGACUAUUUUACAUGUUACAAGUGAAGUGUGCUAGAAUGAAUUGAUUCCCCUCAUGCUAAUGCUAAAGCUCCUAUUUAUAGCUGUGAGAAUGAACCCUAAAGGCCUUAGGCCCAUCAACUCUAAUAAUUGGGUUUAGGUCCAAAACUUAGUACAAUGAUCUUAAUCUCCAAGCUGAACCAUCAUUCGUGGCUGCGUGGAAAGGCACUUUGGCUGCGCUGCUCUACGCUGCUGUGCUGCGCGGCUCUGGUAUGCGCUGUUUUUCUCUAGCUGCGCAGCUCUACGCUGCUCUGGUCCGCGUUGCUCUGCUCUGGCUGCGCAGCUCUACGCUGCUCCGCUCUGGCAUGUCGUCUCUGGUGAAGCGGGCUCUUUAGGCAUCUUCGACUGCGUUGGCACCUCUCGACUGCGCAAGCUCUUCGUAUUCAUUUAUUAUCCCGAGUCUUUAGUUAAACCUGCGCUGGUUAGUUUAUAUAAUAAUAAUAACAGUAAUCAUAACAAGGUAAAAUAGGCUUGGAUUACUAAGCACAGCGCUGAUGAGUAUUCCAGUCCUCAUCAGCUACUCCCCCCUAGUCUAGUUGAACAGCGUUCUCUUUGUUCAACUAGGGGUGUGUGGUGUGAAGUCAGCGCUGUGCUGCUCUCCCGGGUCAAUUAAGCAUACACGAUUCCCUGCGACUUAUUAGACAAGAACUGUCAAUCUUUGCAAAAAUGAUAAAGACAAAGUAUUUUAAUGCUGGAAAUAAGCUGAGAUAAAAGAGAUAGCAAUUAUUCCUUUUGAUUCGUCGAACAUCAUUAAAGAUAAUAAGGGCUUAGAUAACCUGUGCUGGGAAGACUCAAGUGAUCUGCGUUGACAACCUCGCGCUGACUGCGCUGCACCGANGAAAGGUCACGGGAGAUGACUGAAAAAUUUAUUCUAUCCAGAAGAGUCAAGGAAGAAAUGUGACACUAGGAACGGACCUCAGGAUAAUACCGAGAAUUCGGGAGGAGACAACUUUUUACAAAUAAUUCACAGCACUCCUUCUAUCACUGACAAGGAAAAUGAGCAACAGAAGAGGCGGGGAAGACCACCAAAAACUGAGAAACGGAAGACCAAUGAAUGAUAGUGGCAUAAAGGGGCGCCUUCGGAAAAAUGAUCAGAAGAUAAGUUCUUAAACAAUUGACUACAUUAACCAGAAAUUAUCUUCGUCGAUUGCGGCAGGUCAUCAACCUCGAGAUUAUACUAUCGUGAAUGCUGGGAACCCUAGUGCGCGUUCGAUGCAUAAUGUGUCAACAAAGAGUUGGGUUGAUGAAGUGGAAGGCUUGGGCUGAUCCACUCAAUGUAUUUUUUUCUUUUAUGAAUUUGUUGGUUUGGAACGUUCGGGGUCUCUCAGACCAAAUAAAACUUUGUCAACCACAUGACCACUUGUCUAAUCCACAUGUGAGGAGAUUAAAAUAAUGGGAGUGGUGAAGCACUGAAUCACCAACACCUAAACUAGAAAUUAAAAAGCGAUAAAUGACACACGGAUUUACGUGGUUCGGUCGUUAAGACCUACAUCCACGGGAGUUCUUCGUUGGUUUUCACCAUAGCUUAAGAAAGUUUACAUUUUACAAGUGUGUUGCUGGAAUGAGUUGAUCCUCUAGUUUUCCAAUAGAUGUGCUAUUUAUAGUUUGUGAGCAAACCCUAAUUCUAAAAGCCCACUCAUCUAGUCAAUUGGGCCCAAAACUCAGUACAACGGUCUUAUUCCCGAAGUUGAACUAUCAUACGUAGCUGCGCAGGAAAGGCACUUUGGUGGCGCUGUUCUGACUGCGCAGCGCUGCCGCGCUGCUUUGGUCUGCGCUGCUCUGCUCUGGUCUGGUCUGCGCUGCUCUGGUUUGGCUGCGCGGCUGCACGGGAAAGCUACUUGGCUGCGCAGGAAGGCACCUUGGCUGCGUGGGAAGGUUUCUGUGUGCAAUCAUUCUUCACUCCAUCUACUUAGGUGGAUUUCUUACUCUUUUAUCCAAGAUAUCCGAUCGUACCUGCGCUGUUAGUUUCUGUAAUAAUAAUAAUAAUAGUAAUAAUAAGGUAAAAUAGGCUUAGAUUGCUAAGCACAGCGCUGAUGGGAAUUACAGUCCUCAUCAGCUACUCCCCCCUAGUCUAGUUGAACAGCGUUCUCUUUGUUCAACUAGUGGUGUGUGGUGUGAAGUCAGCGCUGUGCUGCUCUCCCGUGUCAAUUAAGCAUACACGAUUCCCUGCGACUUAUUAGACAAGAACUGUCAAUCUUUGCAAAAAUGAUAAAGACAAAGUAUUUUAAUGCUGGAAAUAAGCUGAGAUAAAAGAGAUAGCAAUUAUUCCUUUUGAUUCGUCGAACAUCAUUAAAGAUAAUAAGGGCUUAGAUAACCUGUGCUGGGAAGACUCAAGUGAUCUGCGUUGACAACCUCGCGCUGACUGCGCUGCACCGACU